Molecule: long non-coding RNA, 473 nt
Filed under: Oryctolagus cuniculus (rabbit)
Lineage: Eukaryota; Metazoa; Chordata; Mammalia; Lagomorpha; Leporidae
Description: lncRNA (ENSOCUG00000036267.1)
Source: RNAcentral
AUGUCCGCUUCAAAAAUUCCUUUCCUGAAACAAGGAACAAGAUGGCACAUCCCACAACCCUCUUUGUUGAGAAGGAGCCAGACCAGGGGCAAAAACUCGUAUGUGCCAGGGAUGCUGUGUGCUGGAUUUCAAAAAGUCUUCAUCCAUUGUGAAGUUUUCAAGAUCAAGCCCACUCCAACACAACUAGCUAUUGGUGUUCAUUCCAAGCAUGGCUAUGAAAGAUGCUGCCUGAGAUUGGAGCCACAGACACUAGGAAGAUACCAGCUACUAAGAGGGAGUGUGCCAGUACUUCGGCCACCACCAGCUGCUCCCAGCAUGUGCAUUAGCAGGAAGCAGGAUUGGAAGCAGAGGAUCUGGGACUUGAACCAGGCACACCAAUAUGGUUUAUAUGUGUUCCAAGAGGCACCUUAAUGACUGAGUAAAAUGCCUGCCUUAAAAACAAAUAAAAAAACCUUUGGGGCUGGCUUAAUUCA